Molecule: unclassified non-coding RNA, 211 nt
Filed under: plant metagenome
Description: partial contains small subunit ribosomal RNA, internal transcribed spacer 1, and 5.8S ribosomal RNA
Source: RNAcentral
UUUCCGUAGGUGAACCUGCGGAAGGAUCAUUCGUAAUAAAGUGUUUUACGGCACUUUUUAAAAAUCCAUAUCCACCUUGUGUGCAAUGUUUGAUCUCGUCAAUCUUGGCGAGAUUUUUAUACAUCAACUCAUUCUUUAACUAAUUUGUCUGAAAAAUAUUAUGAAUACUUAAUUCAAAAUACAACUUUCAACAACGGAUCUCUUGGCUCUC